GCGAGCCCCGUUGUCUGCCGAGGGUCACCGCGGCCACGGGCGCCGCGCCAGGCCAGGCCUCCCCCGGGAGCGGCGCUGGCUGCCUUCCUCCUGGCUCCUCUUCCACAACCGCCUCCACUGUCCCCUCCCCAAGGGCCCCGGCCGGAGGCGGCGGCGGAGGCUUUUGGGACAGCGCGGGGACACGGAGCGCUGCAGGGCUCACAGCUGCAGUUUCCAGGAUGUCCUUCUCUUUCUGGCUGUAAUCUCGAGGACAAAAAGCCCACAUGACUUUUCCUCAACGGAUCUCAAUCUGCAGGAAUAGAAAUACGGUGUCAGUUGCAAACUAUUUCCUAAUCAUGGGGUUAGUGUUUGAAAGUCGCCAAAGAGCUCAGACAUGCCUGGGAAUACACGCUGCCCCCAAAGGUGCUGGGAGUCACGGUCAGGGGGAAGUAAAGCAGGUCUGGGGUACAGAUGGCUGGUGCAGCCCUGCUUCCUCCUAGCUUGCCUUGCCUGGAGACAAAACAAAACACCCGAGACCCUCGCUGGCAUGGCCAAGGUCACCUGGAUGUCUGCGACCUGCCAGACCUCAGCAAGGCCUAGCAGCACAAAGGAACCCUGCGGCCUUUGUAUCUCCCUCCCAAGAUGAGACUGCUUGGGUGUGGCUGCUGGGUGAGGCACCUGUACGGUUGCUCUCCCUGAGUGUCAGGAGCAGAUUACUCUGCAGCAAGAAUAUCUACAUUCACUUGCUCAGAGAUUCAGUCAUUCUUGAGAUGUCUUUCCAAAUGUUCAUCUUCGCGCUGCCCAACAUGUCCCCAGAACGCCAAGCUGCCUGAGUUGCAGACCCCAUUACAGUGCCUGUGCCACCCGGAUUAAUCACUGUUAGACUUUUACAGCACGGCCUGCACUGGGCCUGGGACUGAGCCGCGUCUCCCGUCCCUUUGUAUUACCAUACCCCACAAACUGCUCUUCACUUUGGAACUGAAACGUGCAACUGGAAGGUUGAAAUAAAGAGUUUUUGAUGGGACUGUAAGAUGUGAAGAAGGGCAAGUAUGUGCUUGGAGGAUUUUUUUUAAAUGCUCAGGGCUUUCCCUUGCAGAAGCUACUUCACUGCACUGCACAUUCCUUCCAAUGGGUAUUUUUAAAAUGACUAUGAAUCUUUCAGUUAGGGUCUACUUUAAACAGAGGUUACAGCAGCAUGAUUGCACUUCACUGCACUGUAAGGCCA
RNAcentral lists this long non-coding RNA (1204 nucleotides) under Chinchilla lanigera (long-tailed chinchilla). Its description in RNAcentral is "lncRNA (ENSCLAG00000028889.1)". Lineage: Eukaryota; Metazoa; Chordata; Mammalia; Rodentia; Chinchillidae. The record is from RNAcentral.